Molecule: ribosomal RNA, 483 nt
Filed under: uncultured bacterium
Lineage: Bacteria
Description: partial 16S ribosomal RNA
Rfam family: Bacterial small subunit ribosomal RNA
Source: RNAcentral
GACGGACGCUGGCGGCGUGCUUAACACAUGCAAGUCGAACGAUGAAGCCGCUUCGGUGAUGGAUUAGUGGCGAACGGGUGAGUAACACGUGGGCAAUCUGCCCUGCACUCUGGGACAAGCCCUGGAAACGGGGUCUAAUACCGGAUACGACCAUCGGCCGCAUGGCCUGGUGGUGGAAAGCUCUGGUGGUGCAGGAUGAGCCCGCGGCCUAUCAGCUUGUUGGUGGGGUGAUGGCCUACCAAGGCGACGACGGGUAGCCGGCCUGAGAGGGCGACCGACCACACUGGGACUGAGACACGGCCCAGACUCCUACGGGAGGCAGCAGUGGGGAAUAUUGCACAAUGGGCGGAAGCCUGAUGCAGCGACGCCGCGUGAGGGAUGACGGCCUUCGGGUUGUAAACCUCUUUCAGCAGGGAAGAAGCUUUCGGGUGACGGUACCUGCAGAAGAAGCACCGGCUAACUACGUGCCAGCCGCCGCAGUAA